GCGGGCCCACUGGGGCCUGUCCCCGGUCGCCGGGGGGCAUCUGCCCCCGGGCCCGCGCCCGCCGAAGCGCCCUGGAACCCUGUCUGAAUAGUGAGUCUGAGUGAAUGAUUGAAUCAUUAAAACUUUCAACAACGGAUCUCUUGGUUCCGGCAUCGAUGAAGAACGCAGCGAAAUGCGAUAAUUAAUGUGAAUUGCAGAAUUCCGUGAAUCAUCGAGUUUUUGAACGCACAUUGCGCCCCCUGGCAUUCCGGGGGGCAUGCCUGUCCGAGCGUCAUUUCUGCCCUCCAGCCCGGCUGGGUGUUGGGCGCUGUCCCCCCGGGGACACGCCCCAAAGGCAGUGGCGGCGCCGCAUGGGUCCUCGAGCGUAUGGGGCUUUGUCACCCGCUCUGAGGGACUCGUCGGCGCUGGUCUUCCCCCAGGCGGCCCGUCUCGGGCUCGUCUUCUUCCGGUUGACCUCGGAUCAGGUAGGGCUACCCGCUGAACUUAAGCAU
Molecule: ribosomal RNA, 491 nt
Filed under: Talaromyces wortmannii
Lineage: Eukaryota; Fungi; Ascomycota; Eurotiomycetes; Eurotiales; Trichocomaceae
Description: eukaryotic LSU rRNA
Rfam family: 5.8S ribosomal RNA (bases 121-274)
Source: RNAcentral